RNAcentral lists this ribosomal RNA (497 nucleotides) under uncultured bacterium. Its description in RNAcentral is "partial 16S ribosomal RNA". It matches the Rfam family "Bacterial small subunit ribosomal RNA", at positions 28 to 507 of the family's 1533-position model. The record is from RNAcentral.
GAUGAACGCUGGCGGCGUGCCUAAUACAUGCAAGUCGAGCGAACAGACGAGGAGCUUGCUCCUCUGACGUUAGCGGCGGACGGGUGAGUAACACGUGGAUAACCUACCUAUAAGACUGGGAUAACUUCGGGAAACCGGAGCUAAUACCGGAUAAUAUAUUGAACCGCAUGGUUCAAUAGUGAAAGACGGUUUUGCUGUCACUUAUAGAUGGAUCCGCGCCGCAUUAGCUAGUUGGUAAGGUAACGGCUUACCAAGGCAACGAUGCGUAGCCGACCUGAGAGGAGGAUCGGCCACACUGGAACUGAGACACGGCCCAGACUCCUACGGGAGGCAGCAGUGGGGAAUUUUCGGCAAUGGGGGAAAGCCUGACGGAGCAACGCCGGGUGAGGGAAGAAGGUCUUCGGAUUGUAAAACUCUUUUAUUAGGGAAGAAAAAAUGUGUAAGAAUAUAGCCGGGUCUUGACGGUACCGAAUAAAAAAGCCCCGGCUAACUACGUG